This 467-nucleotide ribosomal RNA is filed under the name uncultured bacterium. Its description in RNAcentral is "partial 16S ribosomal RNA". It matches the Rfam family "Bacterial small subunit ribosomal RNA", at positions 28 to 507 of the family's 1533-position model. The record is from RNAcentral.
GACGAACGCUGGCGGCGUGCUUAACACAUGCAAGUCGAACGGAAAGGCCUCUUUCGGGGGGUACUCGAGUGGCGAACGGGUGAGUAACACGUGAGUAACCUGCCCUUGACUUUGGGAUAACUUCAGGAAACUGGGGCUAAUACCGGAUAGGAGCUCCUGCCGCAUGGUGGGGGGUGGAAAGUUUUGGCGGUUGGGGAUGGACUCGCGGCCUAUCAGGUUGUUGGUGGGGUAGUGGGUUAACAAGGCUUUGACGGGUAGGCGGCCUGAGAGGGUGGACAGCCACAUUUGGACUGAGAUACGGCCCAGACUCCGACGGGAGGCAGGAGGUGGGAAUAUUGGACAAUGGGUGGAAGCCUGAUGCAGCAACGCCGGGGGCGGGAAUACGGCCUUCGGGUUGUAAACCGCCUUCGCUCAUGACGAAGCUUUGUGUGACGGUAGUGGGUAAAGAAGCACCGGCUAACUACGUG